This 750-nucleotide ribosomal RNA is filed under the name Rhodococcus ruber. Its description in RNAcentral is "bacterial SSU rRNA". It matches the Rfam family "Bacterial small subunit ribosomal RNA", at positions 67 to 831 of the family's 1533-position model. Lineage: Bacteria; Bacillati; Actinomycetota; Actinomycetes; Mycobacteriales; Nocardiaceae. The record is from RNAcentral.
CGAUGAGCCCAGCUUGCUGGGUGGAUUAGUGGCGAACGGGUGAGUAACACGUGGGUGAUCUGCCCUGCACUUCGGGAUAAGCCUGGGAAACUGGGUCUAAUACCGGAUAGGACCUCGGGAUGCAUGUUCCGGGGUGGAAAGGUUUUCCGGUGCAGGAUGGGCCCGCGGCCUAUCAGCUUGUUGGUGGGGUAACGGCCCACCAAGGCGACGACGGGUAGCCGGCCUGAGAGGGCGACCGGCCACACUGGGACUGAGACACGGCCCAGACUCCUACGGGAGGCAGCAGUGGGGAAUAUUGCACAAUGGGCGCAAGCCUGAUGCAGCGACGCCGCGUGAGGGAUGACGGCCUUCGGGUUGUAAACCUCUUUCAGUACCGACGAAGCGCAAGUGACGGUAGGUACAGAAGAAGCACCGGCCAACUACGUGCCAGCAGCCGCGGUAAUACGUAGGGUGCGAGCGUUGUCCGGAAUUACUGGGCGUAAAGAGCUCGUAGGCGGUUUGUCGCGUCGUCUGUGAAAACCCGCAGCUCAACUGCGGGCUUGCAGGCGAUACGGGCAGACUUGAGUACUGCAGGGGAGACUGGAAUUCCUGGUGUAGCGGUGAAAUGCGCAGAUAUCAGGAGGAACACCGGUGGCGAAGGCGGGUCUCUGGGCAGUAACUGACGCUGAGGAGCGAAAGCGUGGGUAGCGAACAGGAUUAGAUACCCUGGUAGUCCACGCCGUAAACGGUGGGCGCUAGGUGUGGGUUUCC